CCUACGGGAGGCAGCAGUGAGGAAUAUUGGUCAAUGGACGAGAGUCUGAACCAGCCAAGUAGCGUGAAGGAUGACUGCCCUAUGGGUUGUAAACUUCUUUUAUAUGGGAAUAAAACGUUCCACGUGUGGGAUUUUGUAUGUACCAUAUUAAUAAGGAUCGGCUAACUCCGUGCCAGCAGCCGCGGUAAUACGGAGGAUCCGAGCGUUAUCCGGAUUUAUUGGGUUUAAAGGGAGCGUAGGUGGAUUGUUAAGUCAGUUGUGAAAGUUUGCGGCUCAACCGUAAAAUUGCAGUUGAAACUGGCAGUCUUGAGUACAGUAGAGGUGGGCGGAAUUCGUGGUGUAGCGGUGAAAUGCUUAGAUAUCACGAAGAACUCCGAUUGCGAAGGCAGUUCACUGGACUGCAACUGACACUGAGGCUCGAAAGUGUGGGUAUCAAACAGGAUUAGAUACCCCAGUAGUC
Molecule: ribosomal RNA, 460 nt
Filed under: uncultured bacterium
Lineage: Bacteria
Description: partial 16S ribosomal RNA
Rfam family: Bacterial small subunit ribosomal RNA
Source: RNAcentral